RNAcentral lists this ribosomal RNA (263 nucleotides) under uncultured bacterium. Its description in RNAcentral is "partial 16S ribosomal RNA". It matches the Rfam family "Bacterial small subunit ribosomal RNA", at positions 1238 to 1500 of the family's 1533-position model. The record is from RNAcentral.
CACAGAGGGAUGCGAAGCGGCGACGCGGAGCGAACCCCGGAAAAGGCGCCCCAGUUCGGAUUGCAGCCUGCAACUCGGCUGCAUGAAGCUGGAAUCGCUAGUAAUCGCGGAUCAGAAUGUCGCGGUGAAUACGUUCCCGGGUCUUGUACACACCGCCCGUCACACCGUGGGAGCCGGGAAUGCCCGAAGUCGGUGACCCAACCGAAAGGAGGGAGCCGCCGAAGGCAGGUCUGGUAACUGGGGUGAAGUCGUAACAAGGUACC